This 65-nucleotide transfer RNA is filed under the name Neocaridina denticulata (Japanese swamp shrimp). RNAcentral describes it as "tRNA-Ala". The record is from RNAcentral. RNAcentral also lists the same sequence under 1 other name. Lineage: Eukaryota; Metazoa; Arthropoda; Malacostraca; Decapoda; Atyidae.
AAAGUUAUAGUCAAUUAUGACAUUUGGGUUGCAUUCAAAAAGUGCUUCAAAAGGGGCUAACUUUA